ACAAAUAACUUUAGGCCCCUCCGGCUGUCCCAACGGGGCGAAGGGGGGAACACCUAAACAUUUGUGUGCACCAUAUCUGUUUUUGGCAGUUCGAGUGUCCUGGGUUUGCGUAACUGCCUCAGGUACCUACCUGGGCAAGCCUCCGGGUUUGCCUCGGGUUGGGCUGCCGCCCUUUUGAACAUUUGCUUUUUUUUUGAUGCCUGAAAUUGUUUGAUCUUCGCAGAUUAAAUUUAAAUA
This 237-nucleotide unclassified non-coding RNA is filed under the name uncultured Rhizophlyctidales. RNAcentral describes it as "sequence contains ITS1". The record is from RNAcentral. Lineage: Eukaryota; Fungi; Chytridiomycota; Chytridiomycetes; Rhizophlyctidales.